UACGGGGGGUGCGAGCGUUGUCCGGAAUCACUGGGCGUAAAGGGUGCGUAGGCGGGUCUUUAAGUCAGGGGUGAAAUCCUGGAGCUCAACUCCAGAACUGCCUUUGAUACUGAGGAUCUUGAGUACGGGAGAGGUGAGUGGAACUGCGAGUGUAGAGGUGAAAUUCGUAGAUAUUCGCAAGAACACCAGUGGCGAAGGCGGCUCACUGGCCCGUAACUGACGCUGAGGCACGAAAGCGUGGGGAGCAAACAGG
This 253-nucleotide ribosomal RNA is filed under the name uncultured bacterium. Its description in RNAcentral is "partial 16S ribosomal RNA". It matches the Rfam family "Bacterial small subunit ribosomal RNA", at positions 524 to 776 of the family's 1533-position model. The record is from RNAcentral.